Molecule: transfer RNA, 68 nt
Filed under: human gut metagenome
Rfam family: tRNA
About the family: Transfer RNA (tRNA) molecules are approximately 80 nucleotides in length.
Source: RNAcentral
GGAUGUGGCGCAGUUGGUUAGCGCGCCAGAUUGUGGCUCUGGAGGCCGGGGGUUCGAGUCCCCUCAUC